Molecule: long non-coding RNA, 4820 nt
Filed under: Gallus gallus (chicken)
Lineage: Eukaryota; Metazoa; Chordata; Aves; Galliformes; Phasianidae
Description: lncRNA (ENSGALG00010011197.1)
Source: RNAcentral
CUCUGUGUUUGGCCACAGCUGCUCUGUGCUGUUGGAGCUGCAGUGAGAAUUCAGCUCAGCGGCACAUUAGGCGCUUGGCCAGCAGUUUGUGCUGUUACUGUUUUGGUGCCAGCAUUGCUUUGAGUGUCACGGUACCAUUCUACGGCGGUUCCAUACGUCAUAAACACACUUGAUCCUUCAUCUGUGUAAUUCCUAAUUGCAGUUUUACAGGUAAGAUCAAAGCACAGAAGCAUGCAGGCGCUUACCUUGUCCCAAAAUCAGUGAUCAAGUAAUCAGUGCUCAAGUGCUCAUCUCAUGAGACUUGCUUGUGUGGAGCCAUGACUUCAACUCACCAACUAUGUGGAAGAAAACCCCAAAUCUCACGUCCUCGGCCCCUUUGGAGUGGGCCACUUACAUCGUGCCCGCUCAGAGCCUUCCCUUAGCUCUGACAGCGUUUGGCUGCACUAACAGCAACUUCAGCAGUCUGCUGGGCAGUAAUCCCACCUUUCUACAUCGCUGACUGUUCCAAUGUGUGUAAUCAGAGUAAUCCCAAAGAAUGCGUGACAGACACGUACACUGUAGGGGUUUUAUUUAUUUAAGAAUACAUUCAGUGGUGUUACGUUAUCUUCAUUGUCCGAAGCUUUUGCCCCAGGCAGUUGCUUGAUUUGCUACAUUUUUUACAGCUUUCUCACCGGUUUCAGCGACCUUGUAGACCUCAUCGAGAGCUUUUAAAAAAGAAAAACAAAGGUAACUGCAGCAUCACUGCACUAUGUUCCCCUUCCCCACCAGCUGUGGGUGGGAGGGGAGGUGGAGAGGGGAAUGUGCUGAAGGGGUCUGGUUAUGGCACCGUCCUGCGUGGGCAGGGAAAGAGUGACCUCAUUGCUGUUGACUGGGCAGCCCUGGCACUGCAGCACAGCCCAGCCUGGAGUGGGCUGAGGCCCCUGUGGACUCAGAGCCCCCGGAUCAGAGCAGAAGUGCUGUGCUCUGGAAUGGGAAGCGCUAAGAAAGCUGGGCUCUGCCCUCCCACCGCAGUCACUGAGGGCAGCAACGUGGCUGGGAGGAUCUCACAAGGAGGUGGGUGCUGGGACAGGGGCGAGGGACCCAUCUGGGAUUUCACUGGAAUGACGGUGAAAGCAGCAGGAACAUGACCAUACCUUUCUGACCAGCAUCCUUGGCCUGCUCCACUGCUUGCUGCACAGUCUGCCCCACCGUGUUAACUGCGGAGUAAAACAGCAUCAAUUAAGCAGUCUUUAUCUGUCCCUCUAAACUCAGUAUUCACACCUCUGUAGAUGAUUCUAAGAAGAAAAAUCAGUCAAAUACAAUUUUGGGUGAGUGACCUGCAGCUGAACCUGGUUGUCUCAUUCGCCCCGGCUCCAUGUUGCACCACUUUUACCCACUGCCCUGCCCAGCCCCACAGGCUGCAUGAACAGCCGGGCUGCUCGUGGGGGAGGGCAUGAGCACACCAUGAGGACAGAUGCGUGGGGGAAAGGACAGCAUUUCAGUGGGCUGGGAUUGCCCAGAACUUCAGAACUUCUCCAGGCCUGGGCUGAGUUGCCCUCCAGCAAGCAGCAGCUGAGGCAGUAAGGCUGUCUCAAACCAGUGGCCUACUUCACCCUGGGCUUGUAAGAUAUUUGUACUGCAUAAAGCUACACUAAUUAUCAUCAUGCAUCCCCUUCUGGCACAGGUCAUCAGCUGGCGGAUGAGGUGGGCUGAGGAAGAUGCUUCCUGCAAAGAUCCCAGGUUACAUCCCAAUUUACAGCUCCCUUAGGAGCUAUUGGGCGGGUGCUAAUUUUAGAUGCUAGCAAAGAUCAGUUGUGCCACUCCAAACAUAGAAAGGCUCAUGGGACUAAGCCUCCGGGGCAUGUGCAGGCACAGCCGAAGUACUUUGGAGAUGACGUGGUUAAUAGUUGCAGAACCAUCAGUUGGACAGUCUUGUUCCAGUUUAAGAACUGGCAUAAAAACCCUCUUUGUUUUCAUUUAAAGAGGGAUUUGGAGAAUACCCCUACUGAUAGUGCUUCCAGGACUGGGUGCAUUGCGAGUGGUGAUGUUUGUUGAGCAACUACUGUCACUCACCAAGGCAGGCACAAGAGCACAACAGCAGCCAGAGCAGGACUGCCUGGGAGGAUGUGUGUGGGGUUCAGGCCAAGGGCUGCCGAGGGUGUCUGAAGGGCUGCGAGCAUUUGGGGCAGAAGGGGAAGGACUGCUGCAGUCUAAAAGCUCUGCUCUCAGAGUUGGUUGGCUCUCAAACACUUAGUUCCAUCAUCUGAACACUGAGAUAACUUCUCAGCCUGUUCAAGAAAGAAAAAUGCCAUGCCUAAAACCCCCACAUCGGUCUUCUAGCACAGGAAGAAGUUGAUAAUUGUCCUCUAAUGUAAAGAAAUAGAGCAGGAACAUGAAAAUCUCCACGGAAUAUGCAUGUCUAGGGCUGCUGUAAAGCAAAAGCAAGAGGAACUUUUCAUCUGAAAACAUGAGUGCUUGCCCGAGUUGUAGUGUUUUCCUUCCAUGCUUCAGCAUGAAGAUGUUCUGAGAAUCACCACAAAUUCUUUGGAAAAGGGACCACUAGUUGUGGUGAGGGGUCUUUCCUGUUCCUAGCAAGCUGGCCCAGGGACAAGUAGUAAAUAAGCAGCAGGCUUCAUUGAGCACUGCCUAGAGGACUGGCACAUUAGGAGAUGGUAUUAAAAAAGAAAUCCUUAAAGUAGCAUUUCUACUGCAGUUGAGGUCGCCCGCAGUGCCCAGUUUCACUCUACACGGCAUUAGGUGAACUCAGCUACUCCCACUGCAUGAAGCACAGACGUCUGAGGAAUUGCACCACGGCAGCCUUUGUAUGAGGGCUUCACGGGCAGUGUCUCACCUAAAUGGCACAAUGCUUCAUCCUGGGCAGGGGCUGGAAGUGUCACAGCAUGAGCUGCAGGCGCCCCAAGCCCAGUGACUGCACCAGGGCUUGCGGUGGGAUGAGCAGCUACAGCAUCAGCUGGGCGCAUCAAAGACCUUCAAGAAGCGAAUCCAUCCCGGUGUUGCAGAGCUCAUAUUUGUCACAGCUGCUCGUGCUUUGAAAAAGUUGCAAAAAAGUAACGCAAAACCUGAACGGCCUCACUUUCCCUCUCAGCUUUCUGCCGUCCUCAUCCCUUCAGCACAUUAUCCAUCUGGCACCCACUUGGGGAAGGGGUGCGAGCAGCACCGGGAAGCCAGCAUUUAAUUCAGGUCCCUCACUCGCACUCGCACCAGUGGGGUUUGGAGAGCAGCAGCCACGCCAACCACACCCUCAAGAAGAGCAUCUGCAAAGCUGCGUUCAUGCAUGAGGCAUCCACUCACGCAGCAGGGCCAGAAGCCCACAGCAGUGCAGCAGGGCACGCACCUCCCUGCGCAGUCGGAGGCACAGGGAAAGCAGCCCGUGAUAUUUACCUGCCGCCUGCGCAGCGCUCUCGGCCUGUUGCGUUGCUUCCUCGGCGAGCUUCUUCCCAAUCCCAAACAUGGCUGCUGCUGCUCUGCUCUCCCCACAGAGGAUGGGUGAUGGAGUCUCUAAGUUUGGUUCUGUUACGGUGUUCAGCAAAGUGCAGCUUUAUAUAGACAAAGCAGAACUCCUCCCCGUAGUUAGAGGGCAAACGCAGGCUGAGCGGGACGCGGCGAGCCCUGCUCGGUGAUUAAUACGCCAGGCAUAAAAGGGCGAAGAGGCAUUAGUGUUUGUUGUGCUUUCCUCCCCAGAGAGGGGGUGGGGAUUCAUCGGCAGAAGUUUUCCAUGGCCCAGGAAUCAAAGCUUUGUUUUCCAUGGCAAGAAGUUGGUAAACAGAGCGCAUUCCACAGCUGUCCUUACAAAACCUUCCCAGGAGGCUGCCGGGGCCAAAAAACACCCCAGUCCUCAGCUGAAGAAUUGCCUAAACCAGCUCUGGUAUUUCAAAGCCUUACAUAGAAAAGUAUCCAGUUUCAGAGGAUUCUUGCUCACUUUUUUCCCCCUCCGGGCAGGCUUAAACUCAUCGUUAUAAAACAAAUGGGAGGAGCUAACCCUGCUUUUUUUUUUUUUUGAGGAGUACGUGAUGAAAUCUUUGUUGUGUGAGAUGAGCCUAGCAGUUUCAUACUCUGUCAUAACACUGCCCAGCAGCCUGCCCCUGCUAGCCCUGUGCCCGGGGAGCUGCAGGCAGGAGGCCAGGCAGUGCAUCCAUCCCCCUCCAGCCUUCCCCAGUCCCUCUGGGAGGGCUGGUGGUGCUGCCCAGCUGCUCACACCCAGAGCAGCCAGCCUGUGCUCUGUUGGAGUCACCUGCUUUCCAGCACAGUUGGUUCUUGCACCCUUCCACGCUACGUACAAGGAUCUCCCACCGCUGUGAAGCUGUUUCUGCUGGAGCAGGAGGGAAAAAGGAAAGAAAAAAAAAGCAUAACCUGCCCCAAAACGGGUUCUGGCUACUCAGCCUGACCUUCUGCUCACAGCAGGCUCCAGGAACGUCCCUCUCCACACCAGACAAUUAACUUCUUCAACAACAGCUCCUUUACCAUUUGCCCACCUGCAUUUCAGCAAAGUAUCACUUUUCUUCCAAGCACUGCGGAUCCUCAUUGACGUAUAACAGGACAUUGUGCUCAACUAAAUAGGGUAUGGAGGGAUGUCUCCGUAUCAUGUUAUCUUCUGUCAGCAGAGGUUACUUACCACGUUGGAAAACAGCCUCUACCAAAACACACCCCUGAAAAACAAACAAACAAACAAACACAACAAAUAAAACCGAACCAUUUGGUUACAAAAAGCAAAGCCUUUGACCAAAAGAGAACCUGACAGAGUUUAGAAUGGUUCUACAGUGCAGCAAAAACCCAAAAGUCUUCAGACAACCCAGGGCAGCGUUCGGCCUCUGGAAACCCAU